This 797-nucleotide ribosomal RNA is filed under the name uncultured Glomus. RNAcentral describes it as "SSU rRNA". It matches the Rfam family "Eukaryotic small subunit ribosomal RNA", at positions 321 to 1114 of the family's 1831-position model. Lineage: Eukaryota; Fungi; Glomeromycota; Glomeromycetes; Glomerales; Glomeraceae. The record is from RNAcentral.
UUCGAUGGUAGGAUAGAGGCCUACCAUGGUGGUAACGGGUAACGGGGAAUUAGGGUUCGAUUCCGGAGAGGGAGCCUGAGAAACGGCUACCACAUCCAAGGAAGGCAGCAGGCGCGCAAAUUACCCAAUCCCGACACGGGGAGGUAGUGACAAUAAAUAACAAUACGGGGCUCUUUCGGGUCUCGUAAUUGGAAUGAGUACAAUUUAAAUCCCUUAACGAGGAACAAUUGGAGGGCAAGUCUGGUGCCAGCAGCCGCGGUAAUUCCAGCUCCAAUAGCGUAUAUUAAAGUUGUUGCAGUUAAAAAGCUCGUAGUUGAAUUUCGGGAUUGACACAUCGGUCGUGCCCUAAGGGGUAUGAACUGGUGUCGUCAGUUUCUCACCUUCUGGAGAACCGCGAUGUCCUUAAUUGGGUGCCGCGAGGAACCAGGACCCUUACUUUGAAAAAAUUAGAGUGUUUAAAGCAGGCAUUUUGCUUGAAUACAUUAGCAUGGAAUAAUAAAAUAGGACGGAUGGUUCUAUUUUGUUGGUUUCUAGGAUCACCGUAAUGAUUAAUAGGGAUAGUUGGGGGCAUUAGUAUUCAAUUGUCAGAGGUGAAAUUCUUGGAUUUAUUGAAGACUAACUACUGCGAAAGCAUUUGCCAAGGAUGUUUUCAUUAAUCAAGAACGAAAGUUAGGGGAUCGAAGACGAUCAGAUACCGUCGUAGUCUUAACCAUAAACUAUGCCGACUAGGAAUCAGACGAUGUUAAUUUUUUAAUGACUCGUUUGGCACCUUACGGGAAACCAAAGUGUUUGGGUUC